GGGGGUAGUUCUUAGUACGUAAGCAGCAUGGAUGGCAAAUCGUGCAUGUUGCUACUAAGAACCAGCAGUAUCUUUUGAAGAUUUCCUACCUCC
Non-coding RNA from Glossina austeni, 93 nucleotides. The record is from Rfam. NCBI's taxonomy places the organism in Eukaryota, Metazoa, Arthropoda, Insecta, Diptera, Glossinidae.